UUCUGGAGAGAUCAUACGCCCAGGUGAUGCUGUUUGCAUGCUGGGCAAAGAAGCUAGUAACAUUAUCUGUGUUUGAAUUUUCAUCACUCUGGCUGCAGAGUUGCAUGCUUGAAUAGAUAAUUAUGCUGAGCAAAGACUAAAAUUCCAUUGGUGGAACUUCUCUAGGCUCCUUUUAUUAUAAUCUCCCAAAGUUGUGGAAGCAGAUAUGGAAAGCAUUAUAGCUGCUGGAGUCUAUCACUUUAUGCAAGCCGUAGCUUGGGGUUGGAAAUUUUCUAACCUUUUUGUAUGAGAACCCCAUCAUUCGAUGUGUGAACUUCUAUAAAGGGAAAUAGCCUAUUAGUGAUCAUUAUGAAUGUUGGUCUGACAUCUGCAUUAUUAAGGAUUGACAUGACCACAAUUCGCUGGACCAGUACCCUAAUAUCUAGUAUCAAAUACUGGUAAUAGCAUCUACAUAUAUCAAAUCAUUUCCUAGUGUCCUGUAUUAAUUACUUUUAGCAAAUCCAGGUAGAACAACCAUCCCAGAGGUGACAUAUUUGCAGUAGACUGUCAUAAGCUAUAGCAGCAGCAGCUUAAUACUCCCUCUGAUCCAUAAUACUUGUCGAUCAAACGGAUGUAUCUAUCACUGAAAUAUGUAUAGAUACAUCCAUUUAAGCGAUAAGUAAUAUGGAUCGGAGGGAUUAUGUUGCACCUGUUGGACCAGAGGGCAGUCGAGUAGUCGCUGGUAGCAUUUUUUUUGCUAUAACAUACUACUGUACUGCUUUAAUGAUGGCGAACCUUGCUUGGAUUAAUAUGAGCACGUCAAUCAUCUAAAUCUUAGGAAUGCAUGUCUUGCUGGUUCUAUAUUAUAUUUUUCUAUAUUAUUUGUGAGGACAUACAUUUAUAUGUAUAUCUGCAAACUUCGUUAUGUAUCAUGACAUACGGAUAUUACUAGUUCACACGGUUACCUGCAUUGCAAACAUUAUUAGUCUCGUUUGCUUUAAAUAAAUAGUAUUAUUUAUAUUUUUGAUUCACCUUCCCUUAAUGCUGUACAGUUUCCCAUUACUAUCUACAUGCUAUCUUAUAAUCUGCAUACAUGAUUUUCUACUUAUUGAACGGCUCAUCCAAUGCUUCAAACUUCUGUUGCUACUAUAUCUAAAACUUAUGGACACUUGGAUAGUUAGGUGAAUUUCAUUUUCCUUAUGUAAGCUGUUCGGUAACAAAACCUCCCUCUAUUUUCAUAGCUUUAGCUGGUAAAUCCAAUAUGGUAUUAAAUUAACUAAACCUGAAUUUCACAAAUGUGAGACAAAUUUGUAUUUCAUUAGUGCGUUACGACUCCCAAGCAAAUUUGUAUAAGAGGGACAUAGAGGGUGAUUGGUGGGCUGGCUCAUUCAUUCACAUGCAUAGCUCAUGCAUCAUGUUUUUCAAUCCUUUUGAUCGGUUGGUCAGCUUGUAUUGGUGCUGGCUCCCAUGAACGGGGAAAUGAGCCUUCUCUCAUGUCUAGAUUCGAGUUGACCUUGAUUAAGCGAUUUUGAGAUGCAUUAUUCUUUAUUCAUGAGACCAACCAAAUAACUACCCAUAGAUUCACCCCUUGGAUAGUUUUGUUGAACCAGCAUAUCCAGCCUGUGCCCCUCUGAGGCAGGCUCAGGGGAUUCAUGUUAGCAAUCACCCCCAUAAGUAUCUCUUGCCAUAUGGGCACUGCAGAUUAGUCAAAUACUCUCUGGGGGUAACCAGUCACUCCCAUAAUAUUUUGAGUAUAUCAAAAGGACCAUUUUUAUUAUAUUUUGGUUGUAAUUUCUUCCAUUCUUUUGCUUCGUGCCUACCUAGUUACCAUGAUGAUACUUUUAUGUUUUAAGGUCAACAGUUUUAGUGAGUUGUCAACCGGGGUAGUUUCUUGUAGGCAGACAGUUGGUUCUCAUAUCUGCUUGGCUAUCCUUUGCUGCCAUGUUAGCAUUGGAGGCUGCAUCCUAGAAGGUAUGGAUACUGUAGUUCUGUUUGAUUGAUUGACUCGUUUUCUCUNGAUUAUACAAGAUUAGUUUAAUGUAUUACCAUUCUACCUUUUUUUUUUGGGGGGGGGGGCGGUUAAUUAGAGUUUCAAAUACUCAACCUGUUUACUUGUUAAUGUUCCACUAACCUAUUUUACUUAAAUGGGAUCGACCAUUAAGAAAUGAAUAACCUUAGUGAAUAAGAAUACGUACUAAAUACUGUUAGAUCAUACAAGAUUAGUUUAAUGUAUUACCAUUCUGGAUGCCUUGGUUUGGAUGGAUGGGUGGCGGCUAUAGUUAUAUGUGCUGAGAUGUUCAGAUGGCAUAGCCACAUUUCUUUUUACAUAUGUGUCUUCUCAAAAUAAAUGAAAUAUAAUCUGUAUGUUAUAUUGCUAUUGAGUUUUAUGACCUUUUCAUAAGCCAUGCCAUAUAUUUUUCGUGCGGAUGCCCAUGCCAUAUAUGUUUUCAUGCGGAUGGUCAUGCCAUAUAUGUUUUCAUGCGGAUGGUUUCCAAGAUAGAACAUGCAAUACGUUGAAAUAUUUGUGCUUACAACCUUGUAACAAUAAGAUGUACCUAGAAUUGGUUAUCUUACAUUUGAACAUGUAAUUCCUUGUAAAAAAGAAUACAAAGAAAAAAUGAUGCUUUUUUCCCAUGUCAUGCUCUGAAUUCUCGAUGAUCUACUUCUUAGAUGGUAAAAUGAGAAUCGUGUUUCAACCAGAAAAACAAAAGUUGCGUGAAAUACAUAAAUUGAACGGAUGAGAUUUUGCCUGAUAUGACAACAAUUAUCCCUUUUUUCCCAUGUCAUGCUCUGAAUUACCGAUGAUCUACUUUUCAGAUGGUAAAAUGACAACCAUGUUUCAACCAGGAAAACAGGAGUUGUGUGAAAUACAUACAUAAAUUGAAUGGAUGAGAUUCUGCCUGAUAUGACAACGAUUGUCUUGGAAUCACUUUUACGUGGACAGCUAACAACUAUGGUGAGACGAGUGUGGAUCACAAGCAAAGUUUGAUUCAAAAAACAAAAACAGAAAAACAUUGAACAUCGGUGUUAAUAUUUUUUGAGAAGGUAUUUCUGUAUUCUUGUAGUAUACUUCCUCUGUCCAAUAAUAAUAUAUUGUUGAAAAUAUUUUAUAUUAUGGGACGGAGCGACAUCAAAGAAAUGAGCGUUUGGAUGCAAAAAAGGAAGUUCCGAAGUACAAAUUGGCUACACAGAAGCGCUGCCAACACGUCCGUACGGCUGUGAAUACCUGGUUUAUGAGCCGUUCAUUUACUGGAUCGGACAGCUGCUACUCAUUCGUCUGUGUAUACUUUUCUAGGGUUAAGCAGCACUCCACAAGAUGAGCAUAUACGUGCACAAGCACAUUCAUGUAGGUGGUGCCAUAGAAAAUUACUACGAUAUUCUAGCACCAGGUUGCUUCUAGUAUUUUGUAGCCCGCCAAUAGUGGUGAAUUAUUUCUUGCUCUCGCAAGCUGCGGCAGAUCUAGUCCCUCCAGGCUCUAUUUUGUAGCCCAUAUAGACCAGCCCAUGGGCUCUUCUCCCUUCUGCUUGUUCGGUUUUGUGUUGAGGAAUCUCAGUUCCUUUGCUAUGACUAGCACUUUAAGUUAGUUUUUUUGUAGUGGCGCUUAGAUGAAAGUCAGUGUCUCACAUUCGAGCUGAUCUUUUGGGCUUUGAUCUUUCUUGAGUUUGUCCAUGCAUGAAUUGGGCAGAGCUUCAAUGUAGAUUAUUGUCAUCGCAAGAGGCGACAAAUACAAGCAUUGGAGUGAGCACGUCACCUUGUCAUCGCCCUCCCUUACAGAGCUGAGCAAACCUUGUUUUAUUAGAGAUCUGCUUGUUCUAAGGCCCAAUGAACCAGUGCACCAGAAUAACAACUGGCAUCGAUGAAGAAAAAUGUAGAUCGGAAUGAUCAAAUAUGUAGACACAUAACCGAAGGUGAAC
Molecule: long non-coding RNA, 3893 nt
Filed under: Hordeum vulgare
Lineage: Eukaryota; Viridiplantae; Streptophyta; Magnoliopsida; Poales; Poaceae
Description: long non-coding RNA (HVUL_LNC007620)
Source: RNAcentral